Molecule: ribosomal RNA, 482 nt
Filed under: uncultured bacterium
Lineage: Bacteria
Description: partial 16S ribosomal RNA
Rfam family: Bacterial small subunit ribosomal RNA
Source: RNAcentral
AUUGAACGCUGGCGGCAUGCCUUACACAUGCAAAUCGAACGGUAACGGGCCUUCGGGUGCCGACGAGGGGCGUACGGGGGAGUAAUACAUCCGAACGUGCGCGAUCGCGGGGGAAAACGAGGCGAAAGCUCUGCUAAUACCGCAUACGAACUACGGAUGAAAGCAGGGGACCGCAAGGCCUUGCGCGGACGGAGCGGCCGAUGGCAGACUAGGUAGGCGGUGGGAUAAAAGCGUACCGAGCCGACGAUCUGUAGCUGGUCUGAGAGGAUGAUCAGCCACACUGGGACUGAGACACGGCCCCGACUCCUACGCGAGGCAGCAGUGGGGAAUUUUGGACGAUGGGCGAAAGCCGGAUACAGCCAUGCCGCGUGCAGGAUGAAGGACUUCGGGUUGUAGACUGAUUUUGUCCGGAAGGAAGAGAAUUCUUUUAAUACAGGAGGGUAAUGACGGUACCGUAAGAAUAAGCACCGGCUAACUCCGUG